AGAGUUUGAUCAUGGCUCAGGAUGAACGCUAGCGGCAGGCCUAACACAUGCAAGUCGAGGGGUAACAUAGAGAAGCUUGCUUUUCUGAUGACGACCGGCGCACGGGUGCGUAACGCGUAUAGAAUCUACCUUAUACUGAGGGAUAGCCUUUGGAAACGAAGAUUAAUACCUCAUAGUAUGAUAAUUUGGCAUCAAAUAAUCAUUAAAGGUUACGGUAUAAGAUGACUAUGCGUCCUAUUAGCUAGAUGGUGUGGUAACGGCACACCAUGGCAACGAUAGGUAGGGGCCCUGAGAGGGGGAUCCCCCACACUGGUACUGAGACACGGACCAGACUCCUACGGGAGGCAGCAGUGAGGAAUAUUGGACAAUGGAGGCAACUCUGAUCCAGCCAUGCCGCGUGCAGGAAGACUGCCCUAUGGGUUGUAAACUGCUUUUAUACAGGAAGAAACCGCUCUACGUGUAGAGCUCUGACGGUACUGUAAGAAUAAGGAUCGGCUAACUCCGUGCCAGCAGCCGCGGUAAUACGGAGGAUCCAAGCGUUAUCCGGAAUCAUUGGGUUUAAAGGGUCCGUACGUGGAUAAUUAAGUCAGAG
RNAcentral lists this ribosomal RNA (592 nucleotides) under uncultured Bacteroidota bacterium. RNAcentral describes it as "bacterial SSU rRNA". It matches the Rfam family "Bacterial small subunit ribosomal RNA", at positions 8 to 593 of the family's 1533-position model. Lineage: Bacteria; Pseudomonadati; Bacteroidota. The record is from RNAcentral.